Molecule: non-coding RNA, 5286 nt
Organism: Cricetulus griseus (Chinese hamster)
Lineage: Eukaryota; Metazoa; Chordata; Mammalia; Rodentia; Cricetidae
Source: RefSeq, a predicted model, not a curated record
UGUAUGUUUUGGAGCCUGUCCUGUAACUCCCUCUGUAGAUCAGGCCGGCCUGGAACUCACAGAGAUCCACCUGCCUCUGCCUCCCAGGCACUGGGAUUAAAGGCAUGCACCACCACCGACUGGCCCAAAUGAGACUCUUUACAGUGUUCUGCCUGCAUGUUUGCCUACAGGCCAGAAGAAGGCACCAGAUCUCAUUGCAGAUGGUUGUGAGCCACCAUGUGGUUGCUGGGAAUCGAACUCAGGACUUAUGGAAGAGCAGCCAGUGCUCUUAACCUCUGAGCCAUCUCUCCAGCCGGAAUUAACCUCGUAUAGAAUGAGGUGAACAAAUGAGAGUCUUAAUAUUUGUAAAUUUCUCAGAUAAGCUUGAGAAAAUGAACUAGUCAUUUGGUUAAGUCUAUUAAAUCAAGACAGCAAAUAGGAAGGUGGAGAGAUGGCUCAGGGGUUAAAACCAUACACUGCUCUUGCAAAGGACUCAAAGUUUAGUCCCAGCACCCACAUCAGGUAACUAACAACUAUAACUAAUGCUAACCCUAUAACUCCAGCUCCAAGGGAAUCUGACACCUUUGAUAUCACAUACACAUACUCACAUAACACAUACACAUAAUUAAGAAAAGUAAAAAUAAUACUAUGGGGCUGGAGAAAUAGCUCACUGGUUAAGAACACCAGCUGCUCUUUCAGAGGACAUGGGUUCAAUUCCUACCACUCACAUGGGGCUCAGAACCGUUUGUAAUCCAGUUCCAGGGUAUCUGAUGACAACGUCUCUGGCCUCUGUGGGCAUCAGGUUAGUACCUGGUGAACUUACAUACAUGUAGGCAAAACACCACACAUACUAUGUAUGUGUAUGUCUUUAAAAUGCAACAUAGCUAGUUACGGGGAUGCAUGCUUGUGAUCCCAGCAGGUAGGCAGGAGGAUGAGAUCUUCAAGGUCAGCCUCAGCUAUAUAGAGUGUUUGAAGCUAACCUUAGCUACGUAAGCCCCUAUCUUGUGUGUGUGUGUGUGUGUGUGUGUGUGUGUGUGUGUGUGUGUCAGGGAGGCCAAGUGCAUGCACAAUAUCCUAGGGUUCUACCCCAGCACUGCAUAAGCUGGCAUGGUCGCACAGAGCCUGUAAUGUCAGCACUCAGGCGAAAAUUCAAGAUCACCGUCAGCUACAUAGUGACUUUAAGGACAGUGUGGGCUAUGUGACACUGUCUCAAAAAAGUAAAAACAAAACAAGAAAGGCAGUGUGUAGGAAAUCUGCAGAACUGGGGUCUGCUUAGUCAGUGAAGGAGAGACAAAGGACCUGUGGGCUUUCUGGCUAGUCAGUCCAGCCUAAAUGGUGAGCUACUGGCCAUGGGGAGAUGCUAUGUCAUGGGAGGUGGACAAUUUUCCUGAGGACGCAUCCCAGGUUGUCCUUUGGCCUCUGCAUGCAUGGCCACACAGGUGUACCACCCCUACAUGAACACAUACAUGUAUACACAUAUGCUCAUUAAAAAGAAAACACGGUUGUCGAGGAUGGUGGCACACACCUUUAAUCCCAGCACUUGGGAGGCAGAGGCAGGCAGAUCUCUGUGAGUUCGAGGCCAGCCUGGUCUACAUAGUGAGUGCCAGGAUAGGCUCCAAAGCUACAGAAAGGCUGUCUUGGGGGAGAGGGUGUCUUGAGCCAGGCAGUAGUGGUGCACACCUUAAAUCCCAGCACUUGAGAGAUUGAGACAGGCAGAUCUUUUGAGUGUGGUCUAUGGAGUGAGUUUCCAGGAUAGCCAGGGCUACACAGAGAAAUCCUUUCUCAAAAAACUUAAAAAAAAACUUGAUUGCUGGCAUAAUCAAGAAAACUAACAACACAUUUAGAAGACUUUUUAAAAUUAGUGACUAUGAAUCCAGGUAUGCUGGCACAAAUCUGUAAUACCAGCACCUGGGAGGCAGAAGCAGGCAGAUCUUUGUAAACUUGAGGCUAGUUAAGCCUGCCUUACCUACAAAGGAAGUUUGGGCUUCCUAAGACACCGUCUCAACUAGAGAUAGCAAAAGGAGGAACCAGAGGACAAAAGGGGAAAGAGGGAGGAGAGGUAGUGAUCACACAAAACCCAGCCUGGAGGUCAAGGUUACAGGCAGGAAGGUCCACCAGCAAGAGAGAGAGAGGCUGAGACCUUUCUAAGAGACAAAAGGGUAGGGCUGAAGGCUGGGGGUGGUACAUGCUUGUAAUCCCAGCACCCAGGAAGUGGAAGCUGGAAGAUCAGAGUUCCAAACCAGCCUGGGCUACAUAGUGAGUUGCAGGCCAGCUUAAGCUACAACAGUGAAGUCAUACCCUAAGCUACAGUAGUGAGUUCCAAGCUAGACUAAACUACAUAGUGAAAGCCUGUGGGCUUGUGGAGUGGGAACUCCUGGGUUGGAGGGAGGCAACUGUGGGCACCAAGAGCCGCUGUCCAGCAGGCAGAGGACUAUGUGGGAGAGAUCCGGUCUGGCUUGAAGACCCAGGCCUCGUCAAGCUGACAGUUAUGGGCAAGAACAGAAUUGCUAAGGGUGGUAUGGUGACAAAAGGGACAUUUGCAACCUAGCCCAUUCUCAAAAUAUAAAUGGAAACCUCAUUAACCUGACCUAUUACCACACCAUGACCGCCCAUCUCUAUUCCAGGGACCCAAGUCCCUAAGGUAUGUGACUAGCCAGCCCAAAAUAGUCAUAGACCUGCCCCCUCUCCUACUGAGAAGUCCUCCCAAGCUUGACCUCCUCCAGUGCUCCCAACCCCUUCAAGGGACAGUGAACAGUACCAUGAAUGAAGUUUAUGCUGGAGCUGACCGGUCAGGGUAGGGACCAGCUGGCACCACAUGCAUGACCUAUUUAAGGUUCUGCCUGCCACCUGUCCCGCCCCAGGCACUUAACCCCCUUUCAGUACACAGGUCACAGCUGACUGGAUUUCUGAGCCAUCCGCUCUGCUCUGUGCCUGCCUCUACUCAGAUAUGGGACUGGGAGGGCUGCCACAGUGAUCCUGGGUGGCAGAGACACUUGAACUCUCGCCUGGUGUGCUGACUGAGUUCAGUGUGCCAGGCUUGGGAUCCUUGGGCAUGUGGAUGGGUGCUUCUAGUGUUCCAGAAAGUGGACGAGCCUUGUCUUCUUGUCCCUUUCUCUGAGAACUGCCAUGCCUGCGUGUAGGGUGAGUAGAUGAUAGGGGCUUAGAGGAUUUAGUAAGCUGCAGUUUACAGAAUCUUUUCUUGUUCUUUGACCUGUCUGCUUUCAUUUUCUACAGUAAAACAGGCAGAGCAGGAAAUAGUCCCAAUCUGUAGCUAUUGGGAGGACUGUUAGACAGUGAGUGUACCUAAGUGUUGGGCAGAGGGACAAACUAUUGCUGUCACUCAGCUCAGUGAUUUUCCAGGUGUUACCCUCCCUGGUUUACAGAGACUCUGAGACACUAAGUACCUGGUUCAAGGUGACCUUGACACAAGGUGCAGUGGAGGUCCCACAGUCUGACUUUCCCAAAUGCCUGAGUUCACAAGCAAGUGGGGAAGGUGCUCCCACUAAGUGACCUGUGACAUCACCUACCUUUCUCAGCGUCAGCAGCCCCUCCCCCGACCCCAGCAUACAUCCUGCCCUCCGCGGACUUGAUUCCUAGCCGCUGACUGACUACAGCAAGAGAUGGCUGUAAUUCCCUUGGCAAGUCCUUACUGAUACAGUUAUGUCCUGGUGAGGGGAACCAGAACCACGGAGGAGGAGAAGCUUGUUCAGGUUUGAACACCUGGGGCCCCAGACAGACACUCUACGGAUCUGAAUUCAAGCCGUGGCCGCCCCAUCCUCAGAAAAAGCCAAGGAAGAGGUUGCUGCUGUCUUGGGCAGAAAAAGGCCUUCACAGCGCCCUGCUGACCUACACUUAGCACUCCCCACAGCCUGGAUCCAGAAAGCGGCUGGUUAUUUGGACUGCCACAGCUGUAGAGGCUGCAUAGACACACCUUGAAAAUACAGGGAGCCCCAGUGGACUGCUAGGCUCUCAGAGCCUGGCUAGGACAGAGCCUCUGAUGGGUUAAAGGGGACCAGGACUCUGCCCACCCUCACCCUAGGAACCAGAUGGUCCCUAGGGACCUGCAGACUCUGCCAGCCUGGCCUUGGCACCAGAUCUUCUGGCCAGCCUCCUGAAGUCACUGUUCCUGUGUCUGCACUGACCAGACAGCGAAGCUCUCUUUAGUGACUGCACUUCUCAGCUCACAUCCAUUUUGAAUUGCUAUCAACUUAAUCCUAAGAAUAAUUUAGUUUUUGUGAGAAUUGGGGUUCUCCUGUUACUCCACCUCCCUUUUAUCCCUGUUUCCACAUUUCCUCCUUUCUGUACCUAAAUCAGCUUUGUGUUGUUGAUUUUGAUGCAAGGUUUCUCUGUGUAGCUCUGGCUCUCUGUAGACCAUGCUGGCCUCGAACCCUGAGACCCACCUGCCUCUACCUCCCGAGUGCUGCGAUUAAAGGUGUGUGCCACUCCCCACUGGCUAAAUUAGUUUUUGAAAAAAAAGGUAGAAUUUACCAGUCUUCUCAUAUAAACAGCAAAAACCAAACAGAUCCCUGCAGUCUCGGGCUGGCCGGCUCAACGGCAGUAGACUAUGACCACAAGGGGGCGCACCGAAGUCAACACCAUCUUGGCCCACACAGUAAAGAGAAAUUAUUUGUGUUAGCGGCAGCCACCCAAGAAAGGACAGAAGCUUAAUAGACUUCUUUGAACAGAAAUGUCAGGAAGUGGUGUCCAGCACAGUGGCAGGAAGGAUACCUGGCAGUCCUUUGCUCAGCCCUCCCUCCCUCAUAGAAAGCAGAAGUUAGCAGUAGUGUUUCAGGAUGAUCUUAACCCCCCUCCCCCAGCCUGCAUGUGGUCAGCCGCCAUUACUGUAGUUCCUCAAGCAGAAGACUGGGGGAUCAGAUUAUAUGCCAGCUAUUUUCCUCAACACUGAUUCAGGUACAGAAAAUAGUAAAGUCGCUGAAUCACAAAUGUCUCCCUGUCCUUUCAGGUCAGUACUGGGGGCAAGGACAUGAAUGCCACCACAUAGCUGGGCAGGGCAUGAGAUGGUGAGAAGUGACAGAUGUCACAUGGUCGUGAGUUAAUGAAGUGGACAUCUUCAGAGAGCCUGUAGGAGCCAGGCGCAGCACUCUCAGCUCAAAGAGUCAAACCCGAGAAAAAUGCAAACCCUAACCUCAAGAAGAGUAUGACAGGAGAUAAGUCACAUUACAAACAGCCUGGGGAGCAAUGGUGGCACUUGCCUUGAGUCCCAGCACUCAGGAGGCAGAGACAGAAUCUCUGUGAGCCUGGUCUACGAAGUCUCCAAAAUAAACAACCCUGUCUCUAAAAAACAAA